UGGGGGAUUUUGGACAAUGGGGGCAACCCUGAUCCAGCGAUGCCGCGUGUGUGAAGAAGGCCUGCGGGUUGUAAAGCACUUUUAGUGGGGAAGAGUAGGGAUGAUUGAAUAGGUCAUGCUGAAGACGGUACUCACAGAAACAGCACCGGCUAACUCUGUGCCAGCAGCCGCGGUAAGACAGAGGGUGCGAGCGUUAAUCGGAAUUACUGGGCGUAAAGGGCGCGUAGGCGGAUAGGUAAGUUAUAUGUGAAAUAUCUGGGCUUAACCUGGAGGGGACGUAUAAUACUGCUUGUCUAGAGUGAGUGAGAGGGGAGAGGAAUUUCCGGUGUAGCGGUGAAAUGCGUAGAUAUCGGAAGGAACACCAGAGGCGAAGGCGACUCUCUGGCACGACACUGACGCU
This 400-nucleotide ribosomal RNA is filed under the name uncultured bacterium. RNAcentral's name for it is "bacterial SSU rRNA". It matches the Rfam family "Bacterial small subunit ribosomal RNA", at positions 355 to 747 of the family's 1533-position model. The record is from RNAcentral.